UGCCUUCUUCGGUGGUGGUGAGCGCAACCUCCUCCGCUUCUGGUGUGCCUUCUUUAGUGGUGACGAGUGCAACCUCCUCCACUUCAUCUGUGAGGGCGGAGAUGCGGUGAGGGUAGGAGAGGCGGCUGAGGGUGCGGGCUAGUGAAGAGGUGGCCAACAGUACGAUGAGGGCAAGGAGGUUGUCGCCUGUCUGGCAAAGAUGUGGAUGUGGUGAGGGCAUGGAAAGGCAGCCGAGGGCGUGGGUUGGCGAAGAAAUGGUUAAGAGUGCAGCAAUGGUAGAGAUGCAGUCGAACAAAGAUGCGGCAAAUGGGUUAAUAAAUAGUUUUUUUAAUUUUUCUAUAUUUUUU
RNAcentral lists this long non-coding RNA (347 nucleotides) under Elaeis guineensis (African oil palm). Its description in RNAcentral is "long non-coding RNA (EGUI_LNC030659)". The record is from RNAcentral. Lineage: Eukaryota; Viridiplantae; Streptophyta; Magnoliopsida; Arecales; Arecaceae.